RNAcentral lists this ribosomal RNA (511 nucleotides) under Onyxacalles vilae. Its description in RNAcentral is "partial 16S ribosomal RNA". It matches the Rfam family "Bacterial large subunit ribosomal RNA", at positions 1831 to 2600 of the family's 2925-position model. Lineage: Eukaryota; Metazoa; Arthropoda; Insecta; Coleoptera; Curculionidae. The record is from RNAcentral.
UUUUUGAUUAUAAUUUAAGGUCUAACCUGCCCAAUGAUUGAUUGAAUGGCCGCAGUAUCUUGACUGUGCAAAGGUAGCAUAAUCAUUAGUUUUUUAAAUGAAAGCUUGUAUGAAAGGUUUAAUGAAAAAAAUACUGUCUCUAUUUAAAUAUAUUAGAAUUUUAUUUUUAAGUGAAAAAGCUUAAAUAUUUAUUGAAGACGAGAAGACCCUAUAGAAUUUUAUAUUUUUGUUAUAUUUACUUAAUUUAGAAUUUUGGAAAUAUAUAUAAUAAAAAUAUUUGAUUGGGGUGAUAGAAAAAUUUACUUAACUUUUUUUUUAUUGAUACAUAAAUUAAUGAAUACUUGAUCCUUUAAAUUUAAAGAUAAAAAGAAGAAAUUACCUUAGGGAUAACAGCGUAAUUUUUUUUAGAGUUYUUAUCGAAAAAAAAGAUUGCGACCUCGAUGUUGGAUUAAAAUAAAUUAUUGGUGUARAAGCUAGUAUUUUAGGUCUGUUCGACCUUUAAAUUUUUACA